This 271-nucleotide ribosomal RNA is filed under the name uncultured bacterium. Its description in RNAcentral is "partial 16S ribosomal RNA". It matches the Rfam family "Bacterial small subunit ribosomal RNA", at positions 29 to 289 of the family's 1533-position model. The record is from RNAcentral.
AUGAACGCUGGCGGCGUGCCUAAUACAUGCAAGUCGAGCGAACAGAUAAGGAGCUUGCUCCUUUGACGUUAGCGGCGGACGGGUGAGUAACACGUGGGUAACCUACCUAUAAGACUGGGACAACUUCGGGAAACCGGAGCUAAUACCGGAUAAUAUGUUGAACCGCAUGGUUCAAUAGUGAAAGAUGGUUUUGCUAUCACUUAUAGAUGGACCCGCGCCGUAUUAGCUAGUUGGUGAGGUAACGGCUCACCAAGGCAACGAUACGUAGCCG